RNAcentral lists this long non-coding RNA (231 nucleotides) under Capsicum annuum. Its description in RNAcentral is "long non-coding RNA (CANN_LNC007417)". Lineage: Eukaryota; Viridiplantae; Streptophyta; Magnoliopsida; Solanales; Solanaceae. The record is from RNAcentral.
UGAGGGAGACACGUGGUACCUCACAAUGUAUCAUCAUAUCCAUUGCAUGCUUAGCCUUAACAUUAUCAAAAAUUGAUCUAAAGGACUUUCUUUGGUUGUAACUUGGCUUUCGGAUAAGGUUAGAAAAGGAUGGCAAGGGGUUCAAACGACACUUGAAGUGGGGGUGGGACUUACAACUUUUGGAAUCGACUAAAACAACACAUUAACUCAUGCCCCAGUUUUUGUUGACUG